This 371-nucleotide ribosomal RNA is filed under the name uncultured organism. RNAcentral describes it as "bacterial SSU rRNA". It matches the Rfam family "Bacterial small subunit ribosomal RNA", at positions 526 to 896 of the family's 1533-position model. The record is from RNAcentral.
CAGAGGGUGCGAGCGUUAAUCGGAAUUACUGGGCGUAAAGCGUGCGUAGACGGCUAUCUAAGUCGGGUGUGAAAGCCCCGGGCUCAACCUGGGAAUUGCAUUCGAGACUGAAUAGCUAGGGUACGGUAGAGGGAAGUGGAAUUUCCGGUGUAGCGGUGAAAUGCGUAGAUAUCGGAAGGAACAUCAGUGGCGAAAGCGACUUCCUGGACCAGUACCGACGUUCAGGCACGAAAGCGUGGGGAGCAAACGGGAUUAGAUACCCUGGUAGUCCACGCCAUAAACGAUGAGGACUAGACGUUGGAGGGGUAAGCCUUUCAGUGUCGUAGCUAACGCGCUAAGUCCUCCGCCUGGGGAGUACGGCCGCAAGGUUG